UUGAUACUCUCUCCGUCCGAAAAUACUUGUCAUCAAAAUGGACAAAAAUGGAUGUAUUUAGAACUAAAAUAAAUUUAGAUACAUUCCCUUUUAUUCAUUUUGAGUACAAGUAUUUCCGGACGGAGGGAGUACUUC
Triticum aestivum (bread wheat) is the source of this 135-nucleotide non-coding RNA. The record is from Rfam. Lineage: Eukaryota; Viridiplantae; Streptophyta; Magnoliopsida; Poales; Poaceae.